This 409-nucleotide ribosomal RNA is filed under the name uncultured Intrasporangiaceae bacterium. RNAcentral's name for it is "bacterial SSU rRNA". It matches the Rfam family "Bacterial small subunit ribosomal RNA", at positions 355 to 776 of the family's 1533-position model. Lineage: Bacteria; Bacillati; Actinomycetota; Actinomycetes; Micrococcales; Intrasporangiaceae. The record is from RNAcentral.
UGGGGAAUAUUGCACAAUGGGCGCAAGCCUGAUGCAGCGACGCCGCGUGCGGGAUGACGGCCUUCGGGUUGUAAACCGCUUUCAGCUCUGACGAAGCUUUUGUGACGGUAGGAGCAGAAGAAGCACCGGCUAACUACGUGCCAGCAGCCGCGGUAAUACGUAGGGUGCGAGCGUUGUCCGGAAUUAUUGGGCGUAAAGAGCUUGUAGGCGGCUUGUCGCGUCUGCUGUGAAAGCCCGGGGCUUAACCCCGGGUCUGCAGUGGGUACGGGCAGGCUAGAGUGUGGUAGGGGAGACUGGAAUUCCUGGUGUAGCGGUGGAAUGCGCAGAUAUCAGGAGGAACACCGAUGGCGAAGGCAGGUCUCUGGGCCAUUACUGACGCUGAGAAGCGAAAGCGUGGGGAGCGAACAGG